GUUAUCAGCGCCGAUCUGUCAGCGGCAACUCGCGCGGCCGCAGGCUCGUCCGCUGCAGGAGCCGUGAUAUAUGUCUCGCUCCCUUUCGCUUACAGAAAGGAUUUCUUCCGACAGACGUGACCCCAGAAGGCUGCCGAGGGAGACUUUAGGACAAGAGGCGUUGUUUUUUUAGGGAAGGAAGAGGAGCCUGUGCAGAGUUGAACUGGGGUGGAGAGGUGCCUUGUAAAGUAUGGUUUCCAGAGAUGGUGAGACCUCGUAGCUAAGCGUUGUUUCCUCUGCACGUAACUUUUCAGCGUGGCCGCAUUUGGAAAAGGCUGAAGGUAGAAAACUCUGGAAUGGAGAGGCUGGCGACUGGAGCAGGAUCCAGGGGCUUUAAAUUUUAACCUGAAUGCGAUCGAAUGCGCGACUCCCAGAAGAGAUAGCCAGGCGUCCGCCCGGCCGCUCAACCCCCGCCAGGACUCGGAAUGCCUUGCUUUUGGUUCUUUUCUACAAGGAUGUCUGCGUGGAUAUCCCUGGACACUCGAUACCCCCCGGGGACCUG
RNAcentral lists this long non-coding RNA (541 nucleotides) under Homo sapiens (human). Its description in RNAcentral is "non-protein coding GATA6-AS1:26". Lineage: Eukaryota; Metazoa; Chordata; Mammalia; Primates; Hominidae. The record is from RNAcentral.